RNAcentral lists this ribosomal RNA (497 nucleotides) under uncultured bacterium. Its description in RNAcentral is "partial 16S ribosomal RNA". It matches the Rfam family "Bacterial small subunit ribosomal RNA", at positions 28 to 507 of the family's 1533-position model. The record is from RNAcentral.
GAUGAACGCUGGCGGCGUGCCUAAUACAUGCAAGUCGAGCGAACAGAUGAGGAUCUUGCUCCUCUGACGUUAGCGGCGGACGGGUGAGUAACACGUGGAUAACCUACCUAUAAGACUGGGAUAACUUCGGGAAACCGGAGCUAAUACCGGAUAAUAUAUUGAACCGCAUGGUUCAAUAGUGAAAGACGGUUUUGCUGUCACUUAUAGAUGUAUCCGCGCCGCAUUAGCUAGUUGGUAAGGUAACGGCUUACCAAGGCAACGAUGCGUAGCCGACCUGAGAGGGUGAUCGGCCACACUGGAACUGAGACACGGUCCAGACUCCUACGGGAGGCAGCAGUAGGGAAUCUUCCGCAAUGGGCGAAAGCCUGACGGAGCAACGCCGAGUGAGUGAUGAAGGUCUUCGGAUCGUAAAACUCUGUUAUUAGGGAAGAACAAAUGUGUGAGUAACUAUGCACGUCGUGACGGUACCUAAUCAGAAAGCCACGGCUAACUACGUG